This 805-nucleotide ribosomal RNA is filed under the name uncultured bacterium. RNAcentral's name for it is "bacterial SSU rRNA". It matches the Rfam family "Bacterial small subunit ribosomal RNA", at positions 9 to 777 of the family's 1533-position model. The record is from RNAcentral.
GAGUAUUGAUCCUCGGCUCAGAAUGGAACGGCUGGCGGCGUGCUAUAACACAUGCAAGUCGCACGAGGAACGCUUCUGCUUGCAGAAGGCUAGUAAAAGUGGCGCACGGGUGAGUAACGCGUGGGUAAUCUACCUGCGAAUCGGGGAUAACAUUGCGAAAGCGAUGCUAACACCGGAUGAUAUCUAAUGGACUUCGGACCAUAGGAUCAAAGGUGGCCUCUAUAUAUAAGCUUCCGUUUGAAGAUGAGCCCGCGUACCAUUAGCUUGUUGGUAGGGUAAUGGCCUACCAAGGCAACGAUGGUUAGCUGGUCUGAGAGGAUGAUCAGCCACACUGGAACUGACACACGGUCCAGACUCCUACGGGAGGCAGCAGUGAGGAAUUUUGCGCAAUGGGGGAAACCCUGACGCAGCAACGCCGCGUGAGUGAUGAAGGCCUUCGGGUCGUAAAGCUCUGUCAAGUGGGAAGAACCUAUUGGAUGUUAAUACCAUCCAGUACUGACGGUACCACUGAAGGAAGCACCGGCUAACUCCGUGCCAGCAGCCGCGGUAGUACGGAGGGUGCAAGCGUUGUUCGGAAUUACUGGGCGUAAAGGGCGCGUAGGCGGCGCUGUAAGUCAGAUGUGAAAGUCCACGGCUUAACCGUGGAAGUGCAUCUGAUACUGCAGUGCUUGAGUAUCGGAGGGGAAAGUAGAAUUCCCGGUGUAGAGGUGAAAUUCGUAGAUAUCGGGAGGAAUACCGGUGGCGAAAGGCGACUUUCUGGACGAAUACUGACGCUGAUGCGCGAAAGCGUGGGGAGCAAACAGGA